AAUGAACGUUGGCGGCGUGGAUUAGGCAUGCAAGUCGAGCGAGAACCCCGCAAGGGGGGACAGCGGCGAAAGGGACAGUAAUGUGUAGAUUAUCUGCCCUCAGGUCCGGGAUAGCUGCGGGAAACUGCAGGUAAUACCGGAUAACAUCUCCGGAUCAAAGGUGUGAUUCCGCCUGAGGAUGAGUCUGCAUCCUAUUAGCUAGUUGGUGGGGUAAUGGCCUACCAAGGCAUUGAUGGGUAGCAGGUGUGAGAGCACGACCUGCGUCAUUGGGACUGAGACACUGCCCAGACACCUACGGGUGGCUGCAGUCGAGAAUCUUCGGCAAUGGGGGCAAGCCUCACCGAGCAGCGCCGAGUGUGGGAUGAAGGCCUGCGGGUUGUAAACCACUGUCAGAGGGGAUGAAAUGCAGGUGGGUUCUCCCAUAUGUUUGACAUAGCCUCAGAGGAAGGACGGGCUAAGUUCGUG
RNAcentral lists this ribosomal RNA (465 nucleotides) under uncultured bacterium. Its description in RNAcentral is "partial 16S ribosomal RNA". It matches the Rfam family "Bacterial small subunit ribosomal RNA", at positions 29 to 507 of the family's 1533-position model. The record is from RNAcentral.